ACUACAAACCCUGGUUGACUAACGCUCCAAAAGGACAGUUCCUUAGAACCAAAAGGAACUGCACAGAUGAAAAAGAUUUUUUUAGAACAAGCAAAAUAUUUGGAGCAACAAUUUAUUGAAAAAGGCUAUGAGAAAGAAAAUCUUCAAAGCAAUCUAGAACAAAUAAGCACUUUACCCAGACAGCAACUCCUUAAGUACAAACCAAAAGAUAAAAUCCAGCGAACUAACGAUGUACCUUUCAUCUGUAAUUACCAUGGAAACACCAGAAAAGUAAA
Pelobates cultripes (western spadefoot toad) is the source of this 275-nucleotide non-coding RNA. Lineage: Eukaryota; Metazoa; Chordata; Amphibia; Anura; Pelobatidae. The record is from the annotation of a GenBank genome assembly.